CCUACGGGUGGCAGCAGUGAGGAAUAUUGGUCAAUGGACGAGAGUCUGAACCAGCCAAGUAGCGUGAAGGAUGACUGCCCUAUGGGUUGUAAACUUCUUUUAUAUGGGAAUAAAAUGUUCCACGUGUGGGAUUUUGUAUGUACCAUAUGAAUAAGGAUCGGCUAACUCCGUGCCAGCAGCCGCGGUAAUACGGAGGAUCCGAGCGUUAUCCGGAUUUAUUGGGUUUAAAGGGAGCGUAGGUGGAUUGUUAAGUCAGUUGUGAAAGUUUGCGGCGCAACCGUAAAAUUGCAGUUGAAACUGGCAGUCUUGAGGACAGUAGAGGUGGGCGGAAUUCGUGGUGUAGCGGUGAAAUGCUUAGAUAUCACGAAGAACUCCGAUUGCGAAGGCAGUUCACUGGACUGCAACUGACACUGAGGCUCGAAAGUGUGGGUAUCAAACAGGAUUAGAUACCCGAGUAGUC
Molecule: ribosomal RNA, 460 nt
Filed under: uncultured bacterium
Lineage: Bacteria
Description: partial 16S ribosomal RNA
Rfam family: Bacterial small subunit ribosomal RNA
Source: RNAcentral